AGUAACGGCGAGUGAACGGAGAUUAGCCCAUCACCGAAGCCCAUUCGCGUUUGCGAACAGGGCCAUGUGGUGUUAGGGUGUGCGCCUGGGGCUGCUGGCCUAUUUGAAGUCCGACUUCGAUUACGGCUUGGAAUUGUCCCAUAGCGGGUGAAAGGCCCGUUCGGAUAGGUUCUGACUUGCAGCGGCCCUCAGAUGCGCAUACCUACGAGUCGGAUUGCUUGAGAAUGCAGUCCAAAGUGGGUGGUAAACUCCAUCCAAGGCUAAAUACUGGCUCGAGUCCGAUAGUAGACAAGUACCGUGAGGGAAAGUUGAAAAGUAUUCUGAAGAGA
RNAcentral lists this ribosomal RNA (329 nucleotides) under Eutrianchoratus cleithrium. RNAcentral describes it as "eukaryotic LSU rRNA". It matches the Rfam family "Eukaryotic large subunit ribosomal RNA", at positions 82 to 384 of the family's 3401-position model. The record is from RNAcentral. Lineage: Eukaryota; Metazoa; Platyhelminthes; Monogenea; Dactylogyridea; Ancyrocephalidae.